This is a long non-coding RNA of Pygocentrus nattereri (red-bellied piranha), 555 nucleotides long. RefSeq lists it as uncharacterized. The record is from RefSeq and is a predicted model, not a curated record. The transcript is spliced from 4 exons. Lineage: Eukaryota; Metazoa; Chordata; Actinopteri; Characiformes; Serrasalmidae.
GGGGGGCUUACUGCUGUUAAUGGUACUGAUUGGGGUCAUCUACUGGAGAUACAGAGCUAAAAGACAAGGGCAGAUGGAGGACGGUGAGAGAAAACCAGAAUGGAGAAGAGAUCAGGAGACACAGGAAAUAUCAAGAGAGCAAUGGACCACGCAGCCAACUCCCCAAGCUGAGUGAAGCCAAUGCAGGCGUCGAGACCGUAAACAAAGACGGGGAAGGUGAGGCAGACUAUGGGCUAAGCUAAGGUUUAUCCCGCACCGGACUUUGGUUCCCAGCAUUUUUCUCGCCAAUGUUCAAACAAAAUGGAUGAACUGCGACUCUGAGCUACUACACACAGAUGGAUCAGAGAGUGUGACAUUAUGGUUCUUACGGAGACGUGAUUGAACGGGGAUUUCCCGAGCGGUGCACUGAAGCUGGAGGGAUGCAGUGUGUUCAGUGUGGACAGAGUGGCUGAGGACUCCGAGCACACAGUUGUAUCGUUACCACAGCCUACAUCCCUCCUGAUGCUAAUGCUAAGCUAUCUAUGUACAGCAAUUGACAAACAACAAACUGCACAC